UAGUCCACGCCGUAAACGAUGAUAACUAGCUGUCCGGGCUCAUAGAGCGUGGGUGGCGCAGCUAACGCAUUAAGUUAUCCGCCUGGGGAGUACGGUCGCAAGAUUAAAACUCAAAGGAAUUGACGGGGGCCUGCACAAGCGGUGGAGCAUGUGGUUUAAUUCGAAGCAACGCGCAGAACCUUACCAGCCUUUGACAUCCUGGUCGCGGAUAAGAGAGAUCUUUUCCUUCAGUUCGGCUGGACCAGUGACAGGUGCUGCAUGGCUGUCGUCAGCUCGUGUCGUGAGAUUUUGGGUUAAGUCCCGCAACGAGCGCAACCCUCACUGUUAGUUGCCAGCAUUUAGUUGGGCACUCUAGCGGAACUGCCGGUGCUAAGCCGGAGGAAGGUGGGGGAUGACGUCAA
Molecule: ribosomal RNA, 401 nt
Filed under: uncultured bacterium
Lineage: Bacteria
Description: bacterial SSU rRNA
Rfam family: Bacterial small subunit ribosomal RNA
Source: RNAcentral